UUAGCGGCACGAGUUGUAGAUUGCAGGUUGGAGUCUGUGUGGAAGGCGGUGUCCAAGUCCCUUGGAACAGGGCGCCCAGGAGGGUGAGAGCCCCGUGGGAUGCCGGCGGAAGCAGUGAGGCCCUUCUGACGAGUCGAGUUGUUUGGGAAUGCAGCUCCAAGCGGGUGGUAAAUUCCAUCUAAGGCUAAAUACUGGCGAGAGACCGAUAGCGAACAAGUACUGUGAAGGAAAGAUGAAAAGCACUUUGAAAAGAGAGUGAAACAGCACGUGAAAUUGUUGAAAAGGGAAGGGUAUUGCGCCCGACAUGGGGAUUGCGCACCGCUGCCUCUCGUGGGCGGCGCUCUGGGCUUUCCCUGGGCCAGCAUCGGUUCUUGCUGCAGAGAAGGGGUUCUGGGAACGUGGCUCUUCGGAGUGGUUAUAGCCGGGGCAAAUGCUGCGUUGCGGGGACGAAGGACUGCGGCGUGUAGGUCACGGAGGCUGGCAAACGGCGCAACCACCGCC
RNAcentral lists this ribosomal RNA (501 nucleotides) under Pichia kudriavzevii. RNAcentral describes it as "partial large subunit ribosomal RNA". It matches the Rfam family "Eukaryotic large subunit ribosomal RNA", at positions 130 to 649 of the family's 3401-position model. The record is from RNAcentral. Lineage: Eukaryota; Fungi; Ascomycota; Pichiomycetes; Pichiales; Pichiaceae.